Long non-coding RNA from Homo sapiens (human), 2639 nucleotides. Ensembl annotates it as TMEM161B divergent transcript. Its record names the gene TMEM161B-DT. Lineage: Eukaryota; Metazoa; Chordata; Mammalia; Primates; Hominidae. The record is from Ensembl.
GCGGGCGGAUCGUGGUGGCUGCGCUUGCGAGGACCCUGAGGUAGAUUGGGUGGUUUCAACAGGAACGCAUCCACUGUCUGAGAGUUUAAACUUGAUUUUGUGAGGGGACGAACAGCGUGACAAUUAAAAGAAGAUCUGGGAAUCAAAAGCUUCCUGAGGCCUUCACCAGAAGCAGAUGCUGGUGCCGUGCUUCUACAGCCUGCAGAACUGAAGGACUUUACAGCUUCUCUUUCGCAUAUCCAAAUUGCCAGCAUCACCGCUCUUGCACUCCAAGCCAUUAUUAAGUAAAGUAAAGAACACAAACACUGUGAUACUGCUACACUUGAUCUGAUAACCAAGAAGUCUACUAAGUGACUAACAGCAGAGCAACUGGGAACCUAAUUCUGACCAAAAAGGAGGAAUUGUUUGGCUAAUUGGAAGUGACAGAAACCUUGGGAGAAAGCAACCGCAUACCAAGGAUAAUUAUAAGAAGAAGAGAAGACAUGGAGAAGAGGAGGGAGUAGUUGUGACCGUGGAGGCAGAGAAUGGAGUAAUGUGAUCAUAAAUCAAGGAAUGCUGACAGCCACUAAAGCUGGAGAAGGCCAAGGACAGAUAUUCAAUCCUCCCGUAGAAGUACAGCCCUGCUAAUGCAUUGAUUUUGGACUUCUGGCCUCAGAACUGUCUGGAAAGCAUGGAAAUUUGUAUCUUCAUUCACUUUUGUUUUCAUGGACUCUUUUCAUGUUUGAACUUUUCAUGGUAUGAGCUGUUUUAUAAUCUAUAAUAUGGAAUGUUUCUCAUACGAAUGUUUUUCUUAUUGAAGAAUGCCAUAGAAAUAAGGGUGUGAGGUAUACUUACUUGACAGGAGAAUUUUACUCCUUUUAUUUUAUUUACUUAUUUAUUUUUAAGACGGAGUCCUGCUGUGUUGUCCAGGCUGGUCUUGAACCCCUGGACUCAAACGAUCUUUCUCCUUGGCCUCCCAAAGUUCUGGGAUUACAGGUAUGAGCUACAGUGCCCUGAGAGUCCUUUUUAAAGUAGUGAAUGCUCAAACAUGGAAUUAAAUUUAGGCAAAGCUCACUUUUAUUUAUACAUAAAACAACUUCAGCCAUGUACCUCAUAACGAUAUUUUGGCCAAUGUCUGACCUUAUAUACAAUGGUUGUCCUGUACGAUUAUAAUGAAGCUGAAAAUUUUCUAUUGCCUAGUAACAUUGUAGUAAUUGUAAUGUAGCACAACCUAUCACACGUGUUUGUAGUGAUGCUGGUGUAAACAAACCGACUGCAUUGCCAGUCUAGUAUAAAAGUCUAGCACACACAAUUAUCCACAGUAUAUAAUAGUUGAUAAUGAUAAUAAACAACUGUCACUGGCUUAUAUAUUUGCUAUACUAUACUUUUUAUCAUUAUUUUAGAGUAUAUUUAGAGUAUAUUAAGCAGCCUUAGGCAGGUCUUUCAGGAGGCAUUCCAGAAGAAGGCAUUGUUAUCAUAGGAGGUGACAGCUCCCUGUGUGUUGUUGCCCCUGAAGAACUUCCAGUGGGACAAGAUAUGGUGGUGAAAGACAGUGAUAUUGAUGAUCUUGACCCUGUGUAGGCUUAGGCUCAUGUGUUUGUGUCUUCAUUCUUUUUUUUUUUUUGAGAUGGGGUCUCGCACUGUUGCCCAGGCUGGAGUGCAGUGGCGCGACCUUGGCUCACUGCAAGCUCCGCCUCCUGGGUUGAUGCCAUUCUCCUGCCUCAGCCUCCCAAGUAGCUGGGACUACAGGUGCCCACCACUACGCCUGACUAAUUUUUUGUACUUUUAGUAGAGACGGGGUUUCACCAUGUUAGCCAGGAUGGUCUUGAUCUCCUGACCUCGUGAUCCGCCCGCCUCGGCCUCCCAAAGUGCUGGGAUUACAGUAUUUAAGACAUUUUUAUAAAUUAAAAAUUUUUUAAAUAGAAAAAAGCCUAUAGCAUAAGGAUAUAAAGAAAAAGUAUUUUUAUGCAGCUGCACAAUGUAUUUGUGUUUUAAACUGUGUUAUUAUGCAAGAGUUACAGAGUUUUUAAAAAUAAAAAGUUUAUAAAGUAAAAAACUUACAACACAUCAAAAGAUAAUACACCAUGAUCAAGUGGGCUUUAUCCCAGGGAUGCAAGCAUAGUUCAACAUAUGCAAAUUAAUAAGUGAUAUCAACAGAAUGAAGGACAAAAGCUUUAUGAUCAUCUUAACAGAUACAGAAAAGCAUUUGAUAAAAUUUAACUUCCUUCAUGAUAAAAACUCUCGAAGGAACAUACCUCAGCAUAUUAAGGGCCAUAUAUGGUUAACCCAGAGCUAAAAUCAUACUGAACAGGGAAAAGCUGAAAGCCUUCCUGCAAAGAACUGGAACAAGACAAGGAUGACCACUUGCACCACUCUUAUUCAACAUGGUACUGGAAGUCCUAGCCAGAGCAAUCAGGCAAGAGAAAGAAUUAAAAGACAUCCAGUUGGAAAAAAGGAGGUCAUAUAUUUUCUCUGCAGACAACAUAAUCUUAUAUCUAGAAAAACCUGAAGACUCCACCAAAAAGGGUGAGCAUGGUGACUCAUGCCUGUAAUCUCAGCACUUUGAGAGGCUGAGGCAGGAGGAUCACUUGAGCCCAGGGGUUCAAGACCAGCCUGGACAACAUAGUGAGACCCCAAUCUCUAAAAAAAGUUAAAAACUU